UAACGCGUGGGUAACCUGCCUUACACUGGGGGAUAACACUUAGAAAUAGGUGCUAAUACCGCAUAAGCGCACGGCUCCGCAUGGGGCAGUGUGAAAAACUCCGGUGGUAUACGAUGGAUCCGCGUCUGAUUAGCUAGUUGGCGGGGUAACGGCCCACCAAGGCAGCGAUCAGUAGCCGGCCUGAGAGGGUGGACGGCCACAUUGGGACUGAGACACGGCCCAAACUCCUACGGGAGGCAGCAGUGGGGAAUAUUGCACAAUGGGGGAAACCCUGAUGCAGCGACGCCGCGUGAGUGAAGAAGUAUCUCGGUACGUAAAGCUCUAUCAGCAGGGAAGAAAAUGACGGUACCUGACUAAGAAGCCCCGGCUAACUACGUGCCAGCAGCCGCGGUAAUACGUAGGGGGCAAGCGUUAUCCGGAUUUACUGGGUGUAAAGGGAGCGUAGACGGCAGCACAAGUCUGGAGUGAAAUCCCGGGGCUUAACCCCGGAACUGCUUUGGAAACUGUGCGGCUGGAGUGCAGGAGGGGUAAGCGGAAUUCCUAGUGUAGCGGUGAAAUGCGUAGAUAUUAGGAGGAACACCGGUGGCGAAGGCGGCUUACUGGACUGUAACUGACGUUGAGGCUCGAAAGCGUGGGGAGCAAACAGGAUUAGAUACCCUGGUAGUCCACGCCGUAAACGAUGAUUACUAGGUGU
This 694-nucleotide ribosomal RNA is filed under the name uncultured bacterium. RNAcentral describes it as "bacterial SSU rRNA". It matches the Rfam family "Bacterial small subunit ribosomal RNA", at positions 111 to 823 of the family's 1533-position model. The record is from RNAcentral.